CACGAACAACAGCGAUGUUGUUUUCACCUUUCAAGAAGUCAGCAGAAGACAUAGUAUUCGGUGUGUGUACACCAUCGAAGAAGGUC
This is a non-coding RNA of Petrimonas mucosa, 86 nucleotides long. Lineage: Bacteria; Pseudomonadati; Bacteroidota; Bacteroidia; Bacteroidales; Dysgonomonadaceae. The record is from Rfam.